UACCACCGGGAUGUUCAUAACCCUUUGUUGUCCGACUCUGUUGCCUCCGGGGCGACCCUGCCUUCGGGCGGGGGCUCCGGGUGGACACUUCAAACUCUUGCGUAACUUUGCAGUCUGAGUAAACUUAAUUAAUAAAUUAAAACUUUUAACAACGGAUCUCUUGGUUCUGGCAUCGAUGAAGAACGCAGCGAAAUGCGAUAAGUAAUGUGAAUUGCAGAAUUCAGUGAAUCAUCGAAUCUUUGAACGCACAUUGCGCCCCCUGGUAUUCCGGGGGGCAUGCCUGUUCGAGCGUCAUUUCACCACUCAAGCCUCGCUUGGUAUUGGGCAUCGCGGUCCGCCGCGUGCCUCAAAUCGACCGGCUGGGUCUUCUGUCCCCUAAGCGUUGUGGAAACUAUUCGCUAAAGGGUGUUCGGGAGGCUACGCCGUAAAACAACCCCAUUUCUAAGGUUGACCUCGGAUCAGGUAGGGAUACCCGCUGAACUUAAGCAUAUCAAUAAGCGGAGGAA
This 506-nucleotide ribosomal RNA is filed under the name Cladosporium cladosporioides. Its description in RNAcentral is "eukaryotic LSU rRNA". The stretch from base 141 to 294 matches the Rfam family "5.8S ribosomal RNA". Lineage: Eukaryota; Fungi; Ascomycota; Dothideomycetes; Cladosporiales; Cladosporiaceae. The record is from RNAcentral.